RNAcentral lists this ribosomal RNA (363 nucleotides) under uncultured bacterium. RNAcentral describes it as "bacterial SSU rRNA". It matches the Rfam family "Bacterial small subunit ribosomal RNA", at positions 30 to 395 of the family's 1533-position model. The record is from RNAcentral.
AUUGAACGCUGGCGGCAUGCCUUACACAUGCAAGUCGAACGGCAGCACGGGAGCAAUCCUGGUGGCGAGUGGCGAACGGGUGAGUAAUAUAUCGGAACGUGCCCAGUCUGGGGGAUAACGUAGCGAAAGCUACGCUAAUACCGCAUACGAUCUAUGGAUGAAAGCGGGGGAUCGCAAGACCUCGCGCGAUUGGAGCGGCCGAUAUCAGAUUAGGUAGUUGGUGAGGUAAAGGCUCACCAAGCCGACGAUCUGUAGCUGGUCUGAGAGGACGACCAGCCACACUGGGACUGAGACACGGCCCAGACUCCUACGGGAGGCAGCAGUGGGGAAUUUUGGACAAUGGCGCAAGCCUGAUCCAGCAAU